This 28-nucleotide non-coding RNA is filed under the name Homo sapiens (human). The record is from RNAcentral. Lineage: Eukaryota; Metazoa; Chordata; Mammalia; Primates; Hominidae.
UGAGGGCAUCCCAGAGUCCCCAUCAGGA